AGAGUUUGAUCCUGGCUCAGAUUGAACGCUGGCGGCAGGCCUAACACAUGCAAGACGAGCGAGAAAGCACUUCGGUGUGAGUAGAGCGGCGGACGGGUGAGUAACGCGUAGGAAUUUGCCCAGUAGUGGGGGACAACAUGUGGAAACGCAUGCUAAUACCGCAUACGCCCUAUGGGGGAAAGCAGGGGAUCUUCGGACCUUGCGCUAUUGGAUGAGCCUGCGUCGGAUUAGCUAGUUGGUGGGGUAAAGGCCUACCAAGGCGACGAUCCGUAGCUGGUCUGAAAGGAUGAUCAGCCACACUGGAACUGAGACACGGUCCAGACUCCUACGGGAGGCAGCAGUGGGGAAUAUUGGACAAUGGGCUGAAAGCCUCAUCCAGCGCACUCUCUUGCGCGCUGUUGUGAAGAAAGGCCCUAAAGGUGGUAAAGCACUCUUUUCCACUUAGGGAGGACAAAGGUAUGUCUUGUUUAAAUAGCGGCUUAGCCCUGACGGUUACCUACAAGAGAGAAGCCACCCGGCAAACUCCGUGCCCAGCACGCCCGCGGGGUAAUACGGAGGGUGCCCGAGCGUUAAUCGGAACUAAUGGGCGUAAAGCGCGCGUUAGCCGGCCUUUGAUAAGUUGGAUGUGAAAGCCCCGGGCUUAACCUUGGGAACUGCAUUCAAAACUGUCAGGCUAGAGUAUGGUAGAGGAUAGGGGAAUUUCCCGGGUGUAGCGGUGAAAUGCGUAGAGAUCGGAAGGAACAUCAGUGGCGAAAGGCGGCUAUCUGGACCAGUACUGACGCUGAGGUGAGAAAGCGUGGGGAGCAAACAGGAUUAGAUACCCUGGUAGUCCACGCCGUAAACGAUGUCAACUAGCCGUUGGGGGGCUUGUCCCUUUAGUGGCGCAGCUAACGCGAUAAGUUGACCGCCUGGGGAGUACGGCCGCAAGGUUAAAACUCAAAUGAAUUGACGGGGGCCCGCACAAGCGGGUGGGAGCAUGUGGUUUAAUUCGAUGCAACGCGAAGAACCUUACCAGGUCCUGACAUCCCGAGAAUUUACUAAGAGAUAGUUUAGUGCCUCCGGGAACUCGGUGACAGGUGCUGCAUGGCUGUCGUCCAGCUCGUGUCGUGAGAUGUUGGAUUAAGUCCCGUAACGAGCGCAACCCCCUUGUCCUUAGUUGCCAGCACGUAAUGGUGGGAACUCUAAGGAGACUGCCGGUGCCAAACCGGAGGAAGGUGGGGACGACGUCAAGUCAUCAUGGCCCUUACGACCUGGGCUACACACGUGCUACAAUGGUCGGUACAGAGGGUUGCCAAGCCGCGAGGUGGAGCUAAUCUCAGAAAACCGAUCGUAGUCCGGAUUGGAGUCUGCAACUCGACUCCAUGAAGUCGGAAUCGCUAGUAAUCGCGAAUCAGAAUGUCGCGGUGAAUACGUUCCCGGGCCUUGUACACACCGCCCGUCACACCAUGGGAGUGGGUUGCAAAAGAAGUGGGUAGACUAACCCUCGGGAGGUCGCUCACCACUUUGUGAUUCAUGACUGGGGUGAAGUUGUUCAAGGUAAAGGGCGACUUCCACCACACUGGCGGCCGUUACUAGGGAUCCGAGCCGGAUCAAGCUGUGCGAUUGAU
Molecule: ribosomal RNA, 1607 nt
Filed under: uncultured Gammaproteobacteria bacterium
Lineage: Bacteria; Pseudomonadati; Pseudomonadota; Gammaproteobacteria
Description: bacterial SSU rRNA
Rfam family: Bacterial small subunit ribosomal RNA
Source: RNAcentral